This is a long non-coding RNA of Chenopodium quinoa (quinoa), 1625 nucleotides long. RefSeq lists it as uncharacterized. Lineage: Eukaryota; Viridiplantae; Streptophyta; Magnoliopsida; Caryophyllales; Amaranthaceae. The record is from RefSeq and is a predicted model, not a curated record. The transcript has 6 exons.
UUUUAGACUGAAGAAAUAAAAAAAAAAAACCCAAACUACACGCCAUAAACCCUAACUUGCUCGCUGAAGAUCGAUCUCAUCUGAUCUCAUCACUUGAAAUUGUUGAAUUUUCGUUCCUCUCUUCUGUAUUAUCUUCAAUUUUCGGUAAUCUCCUCGCUCUUGUCAUCAAUUUUCGUAAUAUCCUUGUUAUAGGCAUCAAUUUCGUAGGUUUUGAUUGAUAUAUUAUUCACUCAAAUUAUGUUGCUUAUGCUUAAUCUUUGGUUAUUCAUUGCAUGUUAUGGGAAUUCUUUUUGCUAAUGGGAUUUCGAAACGACCGACGCAGAGAAGUCAAGAAUAUAUAUCACGCAGGUGACAGAGGAGGAGCUUGUCUAAAAAUUGUUCUAGAUUGUGAUAGUUGCUGCACUUAGCGAGUUGGCCGAGGUGUUUGAAGGAACAUCUGGAAUUGACAACAAAUAUACUACCGUGCAGUUCACUGGUGAGGUAUGACUUAUCGAGUAAAAAGAGAAAGGGCUGCAUCUACUGCCCCUUGUGCAUAUAUGAGUGGAGAUGCAUCACAUGAUUUUCUAUCUAUAGGAGAUGAGCAUGGAGAAAAGAUGAGCUUAUUAGCUCUCUGGAUAAAAGCUCAUACAGGCAAGAAUGGAAGUUUUCUUCCGGGCACAGUUACCGAAGAUUUUUUGGAUGAUGUGAAAGUUAAAGUUGAACAGUUGAGGUUGAUAAACCCUUCUAAGUCCUAACAGGAGGAUGAAGCCUUUGAGCUGACCAUGCAUGGUGGAGAGAUCCCUGAUCGUCCUAUAGGUUACGAACUUGGGGUUCGAAAGAGCGACAUUUACGGGGUGCAUGCUUUGCUAAGGAAGGACGGGUCUAGAAGAAUUAAACAAAGGACUGGUAAUGGAUAGUAAUGUGAAAGAAGAAAUGUCUACUUUGCACAAAAAAAUUGAAGUACUUGAGAAGGAAAAUGAAAAGCUAAAAGACCAAGUACAAGAGAAUAAUAUUCUUCUUAAAACCCUUAUCGGACAGUUUUCUCAAAUUGUUGGUGGAGUUAAUGAUGGAAAGGGUUCAACAGAACUUCUUAACUGUGCCAAAUCAGUCUUAUUUUCUAUCUAUUCUGAUAAAAUUAAAGAACAACCAUCAUUUUCAUAUAUUAAAGCUGUCAAUAUGUUUUGUUUUGUUAUUGCUGGUGGUUGUGGCUGUUGCUGUUGAGUGAUGUUGUGCAUUGCUCGUGGUCUGUUUGUUGAUCUGCAUUGCUAUUGCAGGUCUAUUUGUUGCUGUGCAUUGUUGGUGGUCUGUUUGUUGUUGUGCAUUGCUGUUGUGCAGAUAUGUGCCCUUACAACCCAAACUACAACGACCCAGCAAAAGGGCCAAACACCUAUCAAUUACCUGAGCACCUACCCUUUUGCAAACAAGAAGAGUGCUCAUCAAUCUGCAUCCACGAGCUAAUACUGGAAAUGCAAUGUCUGCUGUUAUGAAUGCAACAGGAGAACAAGGAAAAUCUACUAAAGAUGGAAAUUAGCCUACUAUGCACCUUUUUUUUUUUAUAGUCAGUUAGUAUUUAACUUAUGUAGGCUUCAAUCUAACUUUUUAAUUUAGUUGGCAGUUGAUAUAUGUAAUAAUAAUGAUGAUAUUUU